UUGUCUCAAAGAUUAAGCCAUGCAUGUCUCAGUACAAGCCAAAUUAAGGUGAAACCGCGAAAGGCUCAUUAAAUCAGUUAUGGUUCCUUAGAUCGUACCCACAAUUACUUGGAUAACUGUGGUAAUUCUAGAGCUAAUACAUGCAAACAGAACUCCGACCGGAGACGGAAGGAGUGCUUUUAUUAGAUCAAAACCAAUCGGUGGCGAGUUGGUGACUCUGAAUAACUUUAUGCUGAUCGCACGGUCUUCGCACCGGCGACGCAUCUUUCAAAUGUCUGCCUUAUCAACUGUCGAUGGUAGGUUCUGCGCCUACCAUGGUCGUAACGGGUAACGGAGAAUCAGGGUUCGAUUCCGGAGAGGGAGCCUGAGAAACGGCUACCACAUCCAAGGAAGGCAGCAGGCGCGCAAAUUACCCACUCCCGGCACGGGGAGGUAGUGACGAAAAAUAACGAUACGGGACUCAUCCGAGGCCCCGUAAUCGGAAUGAGUACACUCUAAACUCUUUAACGAGGAUCAAUUGGAGGGCCAGUCUGGUGCCAGCAGCCGCGGUAAAACCAGCUCCAAUAGCGUAUAUUAAAGUUGUUGCGGUU
Molecule: ribosomal RNA, 590 nt
Filed under: Pantoxystus rubricollis
Lineage: Eukaryota; Metazoa; Arthropoda; Insecta; Coleoptera; Curculionidae
Description: SSU rRNA
Rfam family: Eukaryotic small subunit ribosomal RNA
Source: RNAcentral